CCUACGGGUGGCAGCAGUGGGGAAUAUUGGACAAUGGGGGAAACCCUGAUCCAGCGACGCCGCGUGAGUGAAGAAGUAUCUCGGUAUGGUAAGCCCCAUCAGCAGGAAAGAAAAUGACGGUACCUGACUAAGAAGCCCCGGCUAACUACGUGCCAGCAGCCGCGGGAACACGGAGGGGGCAAGCGUUAUCCGGAUUUACUGGGGGUAAAGGGAGCGUAGACGGCAGCGCAAGUCUGGAGUGAAAUGCCGGGGCCCAACCCCGGAACUGCCCUGGAAACUGUGAGGCUGGAGUGAAGGAGAGGUAAGCGGAAUGCCUGGUGUAGCGGUGAAAUGCGUAGAUAUCAGGAGGAACACCGGCGGCGAAGGCGGCUUACUGGACUGUAACUGACGUUGAGGCUCGAAGGCGUGGGGAGCAAACAGGAUUAGAUACCCGAGUAGUC
Molecule: ribosomal RNA, 440 nt
Filed under: uncultured bacterium
Lineage: Bacteria
Description: partial 16S ribosomal RNA
Rfam family: Bacterial small subunit ribosomal RNA
Source: RNAcentral